GUCGAGUGUUAAGCCCUUCCUCCAAAGUGUGAUGUCACCAGCAUUCUAGGUGAGGCUCUCUGGAGGAGACGCCAUCUUAGCAGAUGACAUUCUUUACACGAUGGGAGGGGGUGGUUCAAGCAGCCAUUUUGAGCAGUUAAUGAACACAGGAUGGGAGGGGAUGCUCCAACAGCAAUUCUAAGUAAAAAUAAAUUUUACUAACAUUAAUUUACGUCCACA
Non-coding RNA from Pelobates cultripes (western spadefoot toad), 219 nucleotides. The record is from the annotation of a GenBank genome assembly. NCBI's taxonomy places the organism in Eukaryota, Metazoa, Chordata, Amphibia, Anura, Pelobatidae.